GAGAAACGGUUCCACUGUAAGC
RNAcentral lists this non-coding RNA (22 nucleotides) under Arabidopsis thaliana (thale cress). Lineage: Eukaryota; Viridiplantae; Streptophyta; Magnoliopsida; Brassicales; Brassicaceae. The record is from RNAcentral.